UACGUAGGUGACAAGCGUUGUCCGGAUUUACUGGGCGUAAAGAGCGCGCAGGCGGUCGUUCAAGUCGAGUGUGAAAGCCCCCGGCUCAACUGGGGAGGGUCACUCGAUACUGAUCGACUCGAAGGCAGGAGAGGGUAGUGGAAUUCCCGGUGUAGUGGUGAAAUGCGUAGAUAUCGGGAGGAACACCAGUGGCGAAGGCGACUACCUGGCCUGUUUCUUGACGCUGAGGCGCGAAAGCUAGGGGAGCAAACGGG
Molecule: ribosomal RNA, 254 nt
Filed under: uncultured bacterium
Lineage: Bacteria
Description: partial 16S ribosomal RNA
Rfam family: Bacterial small subunit ribosomal RNA
Source: RNAcentral